This 1717-nucleotide ribosomal RNA is filed under the name Myroides odoratimimus. Its description in RNAcentral is "partial 23S ribosomal RNA". It matches the Rfam family "Bacterial large subunit ribosomal RNA", at positions 175 to 1894 of the family's 2925-position model. The record is from RNAcentral. Lineage: Bacteria; Pseudomonadati; Bacteroidota; Flavobacteriia; Flavobacteriales; Flavobacteriaceae.
GGAGGCGAACCCGCUGAACUGAAACAUCUAAGUAGGCGGAGGAGAAGAAAACAAAAGUGAUUCCGUAAGUAGUGGCGAGCGAACGCGGAAUAGCCCAAACCAAAGUUGUUACGGCAAUUUUGGGGUUGUAGGACCACGAGAUUUCUUGCGGAUUUAAUAAGAAUUACCUGGAAAGGUAAACCGAAGAGGGUGAUAGUCCCGUAUUGGUAAGAGAAGAUAAGAAUAGUGGUAUCCUGAGUAGGUCGGGGCACGUGAAACCUUGAUUGAAACUGGCGGGACCAUCCGCUAAGGCUAAAUACUCCUGAGAGACCGAUAGUGAACCAGUACCGUGAGGGAAAGGUGAAAAGAACCGUGAAUAACGGAGUGAAACAGAUCCUGAAACCAUACGCCUACAAGCGGUCGGAGCCCCUUAGUGGGGUGACGGCGUGCCUUUUGCAUAAUGAGCCUACGAGUUACCGUUGCUGGCAAGGAUAAGUGAUUAAGUCAUGGAUCCGUAGCGAAAGCGAGUCUUAAUAGGGCGCUUAAGUCAGUAGUGGUAGACGCGAAACCGUGUGAUCUACCCAUGGGCAGGUUGAAGUUUAGGUAACACUAAAUGGAGGACCGAACCGUUUAACGCUGAAAAGUUUUCGGAUGACCUGUGGGUAGGGGUGAAAGGCCAAUCAAACUCGGAAAUAGCUCGUACUCCCCGAAAUGCAUUUAGGUGCAGCGAUGAUCGAUAGUUACUUAGAGGUAGAGCUACUGAUUGGAUGCGGGGGCUUCACCGCCUACCAAUUCCUGACAAACUCCGAAUGCUAAGUAAUGAUAAUCAUCAGUGAGGGCAUGGGUGCUAAGGUCCAUGUCCGAGAGGGAAAGAACCCAGACCAUCAGCUAAGGUCCCCAAAUGUAUGCUAAGUUGAAAAAACGCGGUUUGAUUGCCCAGACAGCUAGGAUGUUGGCUUGGAAGCAGCCAUUCAUUUAAAGAGUGCGUAACAGCUCACUAGUCGAGCGAUCGAGCAUGGAUAAUAAUCGGGCAUAAGUAUACUACCGAAGCUAUGGAUUUGCGCAUUUAGUUGCGUGAGUGGUAGGGGAGCAUUCUAACGGCGCAGAAGGUGAUUUGUGAGAAUUGCUGGAGCUUUUAGAAAAGAAAAUGUAGGCAUAAGUAACGAUAAGGGGUGCGAGAAACACCCCCGCCGUAAGACUAAGGUUUCCUCAGCUAUGCUAAUCAGCUGAGGGUUAGUCGGGACCUAAGGCACACCCGAAGGGGGACGUCGAUGGCCAACGGGUUAAUAUUCCCGUACUACUGAUAAUUGUGAUGGAGUGACACAGUGAUGAAAGCACCGCGAACUGACGGAAUAGUUCGUUGAAGCACGUACCUAUAGGUUUGAUAGUAAAAUGCGUCAGACUUGGAGAAAUGCGAUAGUACUUUGAGUCUUCGGACAACGAGAUAGUGUGCCUAAGGGCUGUCAAGAAAAGCUUCUAAACUUAGAUUAUUAGUACCCGUACCGUAAACCGACACAGGUAGUCGAGGAGAGUAUCCUAAGGCGCUCGAGAGAUUCAUGGCUAAGGAACUAGGCAAAAUAGACCUGUAACUUCGGGAGAAAGGUCGCCAGCGCAAGCUGGCCGCAGUGAAAAGGUCCAGGCGACUGUUUAUCAAAAACACAGGGCUCUGCAAAAUCGUAAGAUGACGUAUAGGGCCUGACACCUGCCCGGUGCUGGAAGGUUAAGAGGAGAUGUUAUC